UAUUACGGCUAUAUCACGCUGAGAGCACCGGUUCUCGUCCAAGCACCGAAGUUAAGCAACGUCGAGCCUAGUGAGUACUUAGAUGGGUGACCGCUUGGGAAAUCUAGGUACUGUAAGUG
This is a non-coding RNA of Octopus bimaculoides (California two-spot octopus), 119 nucleotides long. Lineage: Eukaryota; Metazoa; Mollusca; Cephalopoda; Octopoda; Octopodidae. The record is from Rfam.